RNAcentral lists this ribosomal RNA (253 nucleotides) under uncultured bacterium. RNAcentral's name for it is "partial 16S ribosomal RNA". It matches the Rfam family "Bacterial small subunit ribosomal RNA", at positions 524 to 776 of the family's 1533-position model. The record is from RNAcentral.
UACGGAGGGUGCAAGCGUUGCUCGGAAUUACUGGGCGUAAAGCGGGCGCAGGCGGCCUGUCAGGUCAGGUGUGAAAGCCCGGGGCUCAACCCCGGAACUGCAUCUGAAACCGGCAAGCUUGAGUACGAGAGAGGGAAGCGGAAUUCCUGGUGUAGAGGUGAAAUUCGUAGAUAUCAGGAGGAACACCAGCGGCGAAGGCGGCUUCCUGGCUCGAUACUGACGCUCAUGCCCGAAAGCGUGGGGAGCAAACAGG